UACAACAUAAUGUACAGGUUUCUGGUGGAGUUAAACCUUCUGGAUUUGGUUGAGAAUAUGGACAUUAUUUGCUGUCUGAAAAUAUCUAGUAAUGAAAAGUGGAAAUCCUUUGGGUUAGCUUCUGGCGGGAUUGAUUUGUGAAUAAUUAUAGAAGAAGUUGACAUAUUUACAACAUAUGCAAAAUCUGUGUUGCCUUGACAACGAAAACCGAUAGCCGAAUAACGAAGUUAAUUAUUCCAAAUGUGUCUAUUUUUAGAAAUUAUGGCAAUAUUAAAGUCAGCAGUGGUUCGUUAAUUAAGCGGGAGAUUACAUACUGAUGCAAAUCUGUGUCAUUCCUGAACGAAACAUAGGAUAUGGAGAAGCCGUAGGUUCAGACUUAUAUGGGACAGUUGAAUAAUUGGCGAAGCAUUUCAGGUUUCGUCUGCUUCGUUAAUUGCACAGCAUUCUUCUAACCACGCAAUCACUAACAAGACGUCUUUAAUUUUUCGGACGAGCGAACAAUAACAGAUCUGGAACAACUAGCUGAUGGUUGUGUUGAAGAUGAUUGCUUUUUGUAUCUAACCAUCAAAUCUGACAAAUCCCUAGGCUGUGGUAUGGUAGAAUAAGUCUUUAGUAACGUUUCAUCUUUUUCACUUUAUAAUCAUUCCUCUACGUGUGGAUAUUUCACAAAAGUUUACAUUUCAAUCAAAAUGGAAAUGGGACAAAUGUAUCAACAAGACGAUUUGACAAAUUUUGACGACAGUACCGGUGUUUUGAUGUGAAUCGGUCGAUCUUUAGCUUGAGACUGGGCGAUGAUCCACUUUAGAGAAGAGGACAAUAUUCAUGAUAUCCAAAACCCCUGAAGACAGCUUCUUGGAACUUUGUGGAUUGAGAAUUACAAAUCUCAUUUUAAAUUAAGGAGUAUCUAUCAUCAGCUGUUAUCAUCGAAAUAACAUUGAAUUUAUUUAAUGAAAUCAUAUGGAUAUGCAUCUAAUUAUAUAUUGUAUUGAAUUGACAUUUCUCUUAUUAGUUUCUUUAAUAUGUUCUUGUUACAUCAAUAGCAUUUUGGAUUGGAAUAUACAACCUUACCAGUGUCCCUGUUCUUAAAGUGAGAGCUUGGUAAGUGAAACGAAACAAACGUCGAUCUUGUCGAUGAGUUUAAAAUGACCAUCAUCAAAUACAUCAACCAGGGUCUCCUGAAAUAUUCUGUUACAGGUUUGUCUGUCAUUAGUCAGUACAUCAUUUUUGUGUUAAGUUUUUAUCAUUAUCUCGAAAAUUAAACGCGCUAAAUAAUAAUUAUUGACAGUUUCAUUUGACCAAAACCAGGCGAAGGGUUAAAACUUAAUCUUGAAAUCAAACAACAGCAAAAUGAAAGGAUUUCUUAAAUGUAAAUUAAAAUUCUAAACAAACUAUCCAAACUCGUAAAACUACAAACAAUGAAGAUUUAUAUCCUCAUUAGACAAGAAGUCAAGGCCAUAUCUACAGAUUAACAUUAAAGUGUUUGGCAAAUAACUAUACCAAGCACCAAAAUGACACCAGUGCAUGAGGAAACCUUCUGUACUUCUAACCACCAGAAUAUGUCACCCCAUGAUUAAGAUGAGCAACAUCUCUCAAACCAGAUUAAAUGGAAAUUAAAUCAAAUCAUUAAAGUGAGCAUAACAGGA
Pecten maximus is the source of this 1643-nucleotide long non-coding RNA. RefSeq lists it as uncharacterized. The transcript is spliced from 4 exons. Lineage: Eukaryota; Metazoa; Mollusca; Bivalvia; Pectinida; Pectinidae. The record is from RefSeq and is a predicted model, not a curated record.